This 309-nucleotide ribosomal RNA is filed under the name uncultured bacterium. RNAcentral describes it as "bacterial SSU rRNA". It matches the Rfam family "Bacterial small subunit ribosomal RNA", at positions 30 to 339 of the family's 1533-position model. The record is from RNAcentral.
AUUGAACGCUGGUGGCAUGCUUUACACAUGCAAGUCGAACGGGCUGUCGGGGCAACCUGGCAGUCAGUGGCGAACGGGUGAGUAAUACAUCGGAACGUGUCCUUGAGUGGGGGAUAACCCGGCGAAAGCCGGACUAAUACCGCAUACGCUCUAAGGAGGAAAGCGGGGGACCAGCAAUGGCCUCGUGCUGAAGGAGCGGCCGAUGUCCGAUUAGCUUGUUGGUGGGGUAAUGGCUUACCAAGGCGACGAUCGGUAGCUGGUCUGAGAGGAUGAUCAGCCACACUGGGACUGAGACACGGCCCAGACUCC